CGGGGGGGCGAAGCGUUGUUCGGAAUUAACUGGGGCGGUAAAGGGCUCGUAGGCGGCCAACUAAGUCGGAUGUGAAAUCCCCAGGCUCAACCUGGGAACUGCAUCCGAUACUGGAUGGCUUGAAUCCGGGAGAGGGAUGCAGAAUUCCAGGUGUAGCGGUGAAAUGCGUAGAUAUCUGGAGGAAUACCGGUGGCGAAGGCGGCAUCCUGGACCGGCAUUGACGCUGAGGAGCGAAAGCUAGGGGGAGCAAACGGGAUU
This 258-nucleotide ribosomal RNA is filed under the name uncultured bacterium. RNAcentral describes it as "partial 16S ribosomal RNA". It matches the Rfam family "Bacterial small subunit ribosomal RNA", at positions 526 to 779 of the family's 1533-position model. The record is from RNAcentral.